AGGCCUAUCAGUAUCCUGAGUAGGGCGGGACACGUGAAAUCCCGUUUGAAUCCGCGAGGACCAUCUCGCAAGGCUAAAUACUAACCAGUGACCGAUAGUGAACCAGUACCGUGAGGGAAAGGUGAAAAGAACCCCGGGAGGGGAGUGAAAGAGAACCUGAAACCGUGUGCCUACAAGUAGUCAGAGCCCGUUAACGGGUAAUGGCGUGCCUUUUGUAGAAUGAACCGGCGAGUUGCGUUAGUCAGCAAGGUUAAGUCAGAAAAGACGGAGCCGUAGCGAA
RNAcentral lists this ribosomal RNA (280 nucleotides) under Lactobacillus delbrueckii subsp. bulgaricus. RNAcentral describes it as "partial 23S ribosomal RNA". It matches the Rfam family "Bacterial large subunit ribosomal RNA", at positions 393 to 675 of the family's 2925-position model. Lineage: Bacteria; Bacillati; Bacillota; Bacilli; Lactobacillales; Lactobacillaceae. The record is from RNAcentral.